RNAcentral lists this ribosomal RNA (775 nucleotides) under uncultured Neocallimastigales. RNAcentral's name for it is "partial large subunit ribosomal RNA". It matches the Rfam family "Eukaryotic large subunit ribosomal RNA", at positions 26 to 629 of the family's 3401-position model. The record is from RNAcentral. Lineage: Eukaryota; Fungi; Neocallimastigomycota; Neocallimastigomycetes; Neocallimastigales.
CGCAUCUGUGCAUGCAGCAUAUCAAUAAGCGGAGGAAAAGUAACUAACAAGGAUUCCCUUAGUAACGGCGAGUGAAGCGGGAAGAGCUCAAAUUUGAAAUCUUCAAGGUUUUACCUUGACGAAUUGUAGUUUAAAGAAGUGUUUUCCUGUUGAAGUUUUGGUAAAAGUUCUUGGAAUAGGACAUCAUAGAGGGUGAGAAUCCCGUAUUUGACCAUUAUUUUCAGCUGUGUGAUACACUUUCAAAGAGUCGGAUUGUUUGGGAAUGCAGUCCAAAAUGGGUGGUAAAUUUCAUCUAAAGCUAAAUAUUGGCGAGAGACCGAUAGCGAACAAGUACCGUGAGGGAAAGAUGAAAAGAACUUUGAAAAGAGAGUUAAACAGUACGUGAAAUUGUCAAAAGGGAAGCGUUUGACACCAGUGUUGUUUUCUCGAAAAUCAAUUAAAAAGAGUUUGAUUUUGUUGUGUAUUGACCUUAACAGCUUGCAUUUCAAUUUUCUUGCUUUUUUUAAUGCACUUUUCGUUUAACAAGUCAACAUCAGUUUCUUUUGUUGUAAAAAGGUCAUUGGAAGGUGGCUUUCUUUUCGGAGAAAGCGUUUAUAGCCUUUGACUCCUGCAAUCGGAGAGACUGAGGUCUGCAGCGUAGAUCCUUCGGGGUUAGAUACAUUUGUGCUAAGUUAUAGCUUUUUAUAGACAACUUGUUGACUCGUGAUUAGUCUUGUAGCUUACUCGCUUAUGCUAUUUUACCUACGCUUAGGAUGUUGAUGUGAUACUGCGAGCA